Non-coding RNA from Chelonoidis abingdonii (Abingdon island giant tortoise), 139 nucleotides. NCBI's taxonomy places the organism in Eukaryota, Metazoa, Chordata, Testudines, Testudinidae. The record is from RefSeq and is a predicted model, not a curated record.
CCUCCCAUACCUGGCACCUGGUAUAAGGUGACCGGAUGUCCUGCUUUUAAGGGAUAGUCCCGAUAUUCAAGGCUUUUUCUCAUAUAAGUGCCUAUUACCCUCCAUCCUCUGUCCUGAUUUUUCACACUUGCUAUCUGGU